GUGGGGAAUAUUGGACAAUGGGCGAAAGCCUGAUCCAGCCAUGCCGCGUGUGUGAAGAAGGUCUUCGGAUUGUAAAGCACUUUAAGUUGGGAGGAAGGGCAGUAAGUUAAUACCUUGCUGUUUUGACGUUACCGACAGAAUAAGCACCGGCUAACUUCGUGCCAGCAGCCGCGGUAAUACGAAGGGUGCAAGCGUUAAUCGGAAUUACUGGGCGUAAAGCGCGCGUAGGUGGUUUUGUAAGUUGGAGGUGAAAUCCCCGGGCUCAACCUGGGAACUGCCUCCAAAACUGCAUGUCUAGAGUACGGUAGAGGGUAGUGGAAUUUCCUGUGUAGCGGUGAAAUGCGUAGAUAUAGGAAGGAACACCAGUGGCGAAGGCGACUACCUGGACUGAUACUGACACUGAGGUGCGAAAGCGUGGGGAGCAAACAGGAUUAGAUACCCUAGUAGUCC
RNAcentral lists this ribosomal RNA (450 nucleotides) under uncultured bacterium. RNAcentral describes it as "partial 16S ribosomal RNA". It matches the Rfam family "Bacterial small subunit ribosomal RNA", at positions 354 to 796 of the family's 1533-position model. The record is from RNAcentral.